Molecule: ribosomal RNA, 407 nt
Filed under: Verrucomicrobiota bacterium
Lineage: Bacteria; Pseudomonadati; Verrucomicrobiota
Description: Verrucomicrobia bacterium partial 16S ribosomal RNA
Rfam family: Bacterial small subunit ribosomal RNA
Source: RNAcentral
UGGGGAAUAUUGGACAAUGGAGGAAACUCUGAUCCAGCAAUUCUGUGUGUGUGAAGAAGGUUUUAGGACUGUAAAACACUUUUAGUAGGGAAGAAAAAAAUGACGGUACCUACAGAAGAAGCAACGGCUAAAUACGUGCCAGCAGCCGCGGUAAUACGUAUGUUGCGAGCGUUAUCCGGAAUUAUUGGGCUUAAAGGGCAUCUAGGCGGUAAGACAAGUUGAAGGUGAAAACCUGUGGCUCAACCAUAGGCUUGCCUACAAAACUGUUGAACUAGAGUACUGGAAAGGUGGGUGGAACUACACGAGUAGAGGUGAAAUUCGUAGAUAUGUGUAGGAAUGCCGAUGAUGAAGAUAACUCACUGGACAGAAACUGACGCUGAAGUGCGAAAGCUAGGGGAGUAAACAGG